UACGUAGGGUGCAAGCGUUAAUCGGAAUUACUGGGCGUAAAGCGUGCGCAGGCGGUUUUGUAAGUCUGUCGUGAAAUCCUCGGGCUCAACCUGGGAAUUGCGAUGGAGACUGCAAGGCUGGAGUCUGGCAGAGGGGGGUAGAAUUCCACGUGUAGCAGUGAAAUGCGUAGAGAUGUGGAGGAACACCGAUGGCGAAGGCAGCCCCCUGGGUCAAGACUGACGCUCAUGCACGAAAGCGUGGGGAGCAAAAAGG
Molecule: ribosomal RNA, 253 nt
Filed under: uncultured bacterium
Lineage: Bacteria
Description: partial 16S ribosomal RNA
Rfam family: Bacterial small subunit ribosomal RNA
Source: RNAcentral